GAUGAACGCUGGCGGCGUGCCUAAUACAUGCAAGUCGAGCGAACGGACGAGAAGCUUGCUUCUCUGAUGUUAGCGGCGGACGGGUGAGUAACACGUGGAUAACCUACCUAAAAGACUGGGAUAACUUCGGGAAACCGGAGCUAAUACCGGAUAAUAUUUUGAACCGCAUGGUUCAAAAGUGAAAGACGGUCUUGCUGUCACUUAUAGAUGGAUCCGCGCUGCAUUAGCUAGUUGGUAAGGUAACGGCUUACCAAGGCAACGAUGCAUAGCCGACCUGAGAGGGUGAUCGGACACACUGGAACUGAGACACGGUCCAGACUCCUACGGGAGGCAGCAGUAGGGAAUCUUCCGCGAUGGGCGAAAGCCUGACGGAGCAACGCCGCGUGAGUGAUGAAGGUCUUCGGAUCGUAAAACUCUGUUAUUAGGGAAGAACAUAUGUGUAAGUAACUGUGCACAUCUUGACGGUACCUAAUCAGAAAGCCACGGCUAACUACGUG
This 497-nucleotide ribosomal RNA is filed under the name uncultured bacterium. RNAcentral describes it as "partial 16S ribosomal RNA". It matches the Rfam family "Bacterial small subunit ribosomal RNA", at positions 28 to 507 of the family's 1533-position model. The record is from RNAcentral.